ACACAUCGCUACCCUUGUCAAUGCAAGCACCUGUAGCCUCUGUUGGUGCCUUCACACUCUCGGGAGGUACAGCCGCCAAAGCCCUCACCACCGUGAUAGCUUCGCCGACGACUCAGUUGGUACCACAAGUUGAGUCAUCGUGGGCGGUGCGGUCAUGGUCGUUGGCGGAUCAUGCUUCACGCUUCACGAAGGUACGAGGCUUCUCUUGGCUGUCUAGUUGCUGAUGCCUGGAUGUCAUGGUAGGACAUCUGGGGCUGGAUGGAAUCUAAGACUACUUGCUCUGUUUUAUUGGUUUCCUUUCAUGCAAUGAAAUGAAAUCGGGGGCAUGCCCAUCAAUUCAAAAAAAAAAAACGCCUAGGAGGAGGCUCCUGCCUUCGUGGAUGUCGCAGGUUGCGUCCUCCACCCAUGCCUCCACCACCACGGCCCCCACGGAGCACCAUCCCCCCUUGUCGAGGAGCAUAGCGUUGUGGCCCUGCCGGACCAUGGACAAAGCCUCCCGUCGGCCCUUGAAAUUCCCGGCCGCCGUGGUCACUCCCGGUGUUGCCGCGCCCUCCGGCGGAGGACGAGCCAUAGAAGGAGUUGUGUGCAGCGGCAACGAACCCAUCUUGCUGAUUCCCCCAGAACUGUCUACCCGCACCUCCGGCGUUCCUGCCAUAAACUCCUCCACCGCCGUAGCCACGCCCCUGCCCUGGUUCCCGCCGCGGCCAGGAACAACAGCGCCGGCCGUCCGGGUACCCGAGUUGGCGACAACAGCCUGUGUUUUGAAUUUUGGCGCUAAAAAAUAGACUUCACCCAUCUCGGCCUGGGGCAGAAAAUAUCUUUUGACGAAAAACUAGAAUUUGGUAAAAUUUCAGACAUUUUUUGGUAAAAAUUUGGUCAAAUUUGCCGAAAUUUUUGAAAGCCUGGGGCGAAAAAAAUUCACAAACCGAAAAUCAAAACCUUGGCAGCAGCUUGCACGUUUUGAUCUUGCAAGUUGUGCGGCGGCGGCUGUGCUUGGUUGCCGUGGCCUGAAGCCAUGACGACGAUCGCGUAGGAGCGCAGAUCCCCUGCCGCCGUAUGAACCCACGUCCUCGAUGCUCGCUGUAUCCCACUGCAAAGAACUCACAGAUGUGAUCCGAAGUCGUCGGAGACCGCCCUUCAUCGUCAUAGGCAUCCUCCUCGGAGUCCGCCAGCGCCCAGAAUUUCCCCCCUACGCGCCGGGGAGGUCCCUCGUCGUCGCCGACGUCCCCACGCCAAGGACGACAUGGGGUCGCUCACAGUCUUCACCAACGAGCAUAGAGUUCCUUUCACCAUUGACCUGCCUGUGGAUCCCCCUCCCUGCAGCAGCCCAUGGAAGAUGUCGCGGUGGUGGGCGAGCUGAGCAGGUUGGAGUACCAGCACGGCGCCACAACAAUUUGCCGUCCUUCCGGAUGGAGGACCUUCCCGUGGUAAUAAGUGGUAACUUCCAUUCCGUCAUUUUAAUUCCUCUGUCUCCCCCCAUUCCAUUACAGCAAGGGAAAUAAAGUGUUUACUGAUAUGGACCUCUUGGGCAACAAAUGUUUGAUCUUUGGCGUGAUGUUUGUUGUGCUCUGCUCUCCACGGAUCUGAAACUCUUGGGCAAAAUGUUUGAUCUUCUGUUCAAAUUGUUGCCUAGGGGUUUCAACGAUUGCUCACUUCAUGAGCUUUUUUUAGCUGCAAAAUGACAAUUGUAGUAAAAACACUAAACCUUUAUUUGUUUGCUGAACACUGAACCUUUAUUUGUUUGCUCAACACCCAACACUGAAUAUAUACAUAUAGUACUCCUAUAGGCCAUGGACACUAAGCCUUGAUUCUACUGAAAGCACAAUGACAAUGACAAUACACUGCAAAAACACUGAUCAGUAAAUCCCAGUUCAGUAGUGAAACACUGAACCUUUAUUCUAGUGAAACACUGCAAAAACAGGAUUUGCUGAACCUUUAUUUAUUUGCUGAUUCAAAUAGCCAGCAGAAACUUUA
This is a long non-coding RNA of Triticum aestivum (bread wheat), 1974 nucleotides long. RefSeq lists it as uncharacterized. The record is from RefSeq and is a predicted model, not a curated record. NCBI's taxonomy places the organism in Eukaryota, Viridiplantae, Streptophyta, Magnoliopsida, Poales, Poaceae. The transcript has 3 exons.